This 497-nucleotide ribosomal RNA is filed under the name uncultured bacterium. Its description in RNAcentral is "partial 16S ribosomal RNA". It matches the Rfam family "Bacterial small subunit ribosomal RNA", at positions 28 to 507 of the family's 1533-position model. The record is from RNAcentral.
GAUGAACGCUGGCGGCGUGCCUAAUACAUGCCAGUCGAGCGAACGGACGAGAAGCUUGCUUCUCUGAUGUUAGCGGCGGACGGGUGAGUAACACGUGGAUAACCUACCUAUAAGACUGGGAUAACUUCGGGAAACCGGAGCUAAUACCGGAUAAUAUUUUGAACCGCAUGGUUCAAAAGUGAAAGACGGUCUUGCUGUCACUUAUAGAUGGAUCCGCGCUGCAUUAGCUAGUCGGUAAGGUAACGGCUUACCAAGGCAACGAUGCAUAGCCGACCUGAGAGGGUGAUCGGCCACACUGGAACUGAGACACGGUCCAGACUCCUACGGGAGGCAGCAGUAGGGAAUCUUCCGCAAUGGGCGAAAGCCUGACGGAGCAACGCCGCGUGAGUGAUGAAGGUCUUCGGAUCGUAAAACUCUGUUAUUAGGGAAGAACAUAUGUGUAAGUAACUGUGCACAUCUUGACGGUACCUAAUCAGAAAGCCACGGCUAACUACGUG